AACGAACGCUGGCGGCAUGCCUAACACAUGCAAGACGAACGAGAUCUUCGGGUCUAGUGGCGCACGGGUGCGUAACGCGUGGGAAUCUGCCCUUUGGUUCGGAAUAACAGUUGGAAACGACUGCUAAUACCGGAUGAUGACGAAGGUCCUAAGAUUUAUCGCCAGAGGAUGAGCCCGCGUAGGAUUAGCUAGUUGGUGUGGUAAAGGCGCACCAAGGCGACGAUCCUUAGCUGGUCUGAGAGGAUGAUCAGCCACACUGGGACUGAGACACGGCCCAGACUCCUACGGGAGGCAGCAGUGGGGAAUAUUGGACAAUGGGCGAAAGCCUGAUCCAGCAAUGCCGCGUGAGUGAUGAAGGCCUUAGGGUUGUAAAGCUCUUUUACCCGGGAUGAUAAUGACAGUACCGGGAGAAUAAGCUCCGGCUAACUCCGUGCCAGCAGCCGCGGUAA
Molecule: ribosomal RNA, 449 nt
Filed under: uncultured bacterium
Lineage: Bacteria
Description: partial 16S ribosomal RNA
Rfam family: Bacterial small subunit ribosomal RNA
Source: RNAcentral